This 367-nucleotide ribosomal RNA is filed under the name uncultured organism. Its description in RNAcentral is "bacterial LSU rRNA". It matches the Rfam family "Bacterial large subunit ribosomal RNA", at positions 2099 to 2465 of the family's 2925-position model. The record is from RNAcentral.
CUUUACUGUAGCUUUGUAUUGGACUUUGAACAGAUCUGUGUAGGAUAGGUGGGAGGCUUUGAAGCAGGGUCGCUAGAUCUUGUGGAGCCAACGUUGAAAUACCACCCUGGUGUGUUUGAGGUUCUAACCUAGGCCCGUGAUCCGGGUCGGGGACAGUGCAUGGUAGGCAGUUUGGCUGGGGCGGUCUCCUCCCAAAGCGUAACGGAGGAGUUCGAAGGUACGCUAGGUACGGUCGGACAUCGUGCUAAUAGUGCAAUGGCAUAAGCGUGCUUAACUGCGAGACUGACAAGUCGAGCAGAUGCGAAAGCAGGACAUAGUGAUCCGGUGGUUCUGUAUGGAAGGGCCAUCGCUCAACGGAUAAAAGGUA